GUCCAGGGGCGGGACAUGGCAUCUGCCCGGUAAGCGGAAGGUUGUGGGUUCGAUUCCCGCCCCUGGACA
Cordylochernes scorpioides is the source of this 69-nucleotide non-coding RNA. The record is from the annotation of a GenBank genome assembly. Lineage: Eukaryota; Metazoa; Arthropoda; Arachnida; Pseudoscorpiones; Chernetidae.